AUACUUCUCUGUGCUUCCCAGACAUUAUUUUGAUCUUUUCACGAGAAUACAGCCAUAUGUUACAAACAUGAGUUGCACGUAUAUGCAUGAGGUUUAUGUUAGCUGCUGAGAUUUUUUAUGAUGUAUAUAGUUAUACAUGUGUGUCUCUGUGUGUCUCUGCUUAUUUGUACACAUAUCACUUCACUUUAAACCCAAAACACACUGCUCAAAAUUUGACAGAAAACCUAAAUAAAGAUGAAUGUGGUAAAAGAAAUUAAAGUAAUG
This 264-nucleotide unclassified non-coding RNA is filed under the name Hevea brasiliensis (rubber tree). The record is from RNAcentral. Lineage: Eukaryota; Viridiplantae; Streptophyta; Magnoliopsida; Malpighiales; Euphorbiaceae.